This 605-nucleotide long non-coding RNA is filed under the name Cicer arietinum (chickpea). RNAcentral's name for it is "long non-coding RNA (CARI_LNC001104)". The record is from RNAcentral. Lineage: Eukaryota; Viridiplantae; Streptophyta; Magnoliopsida; Fabales; Fabaceae.
UUUUUCAUCAAAUUAUAUUGGUAACCGUUACAUUACAUCUGAUUAUUACCAUCAACAGUCACAUGAUGUGUUGCUCCCAAGCCAGGGCACCAAGUUUGGGAUACCAAAUUGUCAGGACCAGAGAGUAUUGUCUGAGCUUGUUGUGAGAUAAUGAACUAACAGUGGAGGUAAAUUAUGUGAUACAUUUAAAAAGUCCUUCUCUACACAUUCCAAUAGUAAGGCUAUUGUCAAAUAAUGAGGGAUAUCUAUGAAGCACCGACACUGGCACAUUGACAUCGAUUAUAUUUUUGAAAAAAUGAAAAAGUGAUUGAACUCAACAAUAUAUGUCGAUGUUGUGUCGGUGUCUGACACUGACGUGUGUCCGAUACUAGACACGUCAUUAAUUUGAAGUGUCGGUGCUACCUACUAAAUACUAUCUUAUUACUUAAAUUUAUGGGUUUCUUUGUUUUUCGAGAAAAAGACAAUUCCAGGCUAUCAUUAGUGUUGAAUGAACUGUGAUUUGGAAGAAAAAUCUAGAGAAAAGGAUUGGAGAGGAUGUAUUGCAUUGGUUUGGAUUACAAGAAAUAUGGCCUUGUCAAAAAUAUUGCUGAAGUAGCAUCCAGUUC